AACGAACGCUGGCGGCAGGCCUAACACAUGCAAGUCGAACGCUCGUAGCAAUACGGGAGUGGCGCACGGGUGAGUAACGCGUGGGCACCUACCCGGUGGUCCGGAAUAACCGCGGGAAACUGCGGCUAAUACCGAAUAAGCCCUUAGGGGGAAAGAUUUAUCGCCAUCGGAUGGGCCCGCGUCGGAUUAGCUAGUUGGUGUGGUAACGGCGCACCAAGGCGACGAUCCGUAGCUGGUCUGAGAGGAUGAUCAGCCACACUGGGACUGAGACACGGCCCAGACUCCUACGGGAGGCAGCAGUGGGGAAUAUUGGACAAUGGGCGCAAGCCUGAUCCAGCCAUGCCGCGUGAGUGAAGAAGGCCUUCGGGUUGUAAAGCUCUUUUGGCGGGGACGAUGAUGACGGUACCCGCAGAAUAAGCCCCGGCUAACUUCGUGCCAGCAGCCGCGGUAAGACGAAGGGGCUAGCGUUGUUCGGAAUUACUGGGCGUAAAGGGCGCGUAGGCGGUUUGUUAAGUCAGGCGUGAAAGCCCUGGGCUCAACCUGGGAUGUGCGCUUGAUACUGGCAGGCUUGAGUGCAGGAGAGGAUGGUGGAAUUCCCAGUGUAGAGGUGAAAUUCGUAGAUAUUGGGAAGAACACCGGUGGCGAAGGCGGCCAUCUGGACUGCAGCUGACGCUGAGGCGCGAAAGCGUGGGGGAGC
This 697-nucleotide ribosomal RNA is filed under the name uncultured bacterium. Its description in RNAcentral is "bacterial SSU rRNA". It matches the Rfam family "Bacterial small subunit ribosomal RNA", at positions 28 to 769 of the family's 1533-position model. The record is from RNAcentral.